Molecule: transfer RNA, 63 nt
Filed under: Ptilodactylidae sp. 3 ACP-2013
Lineage: Eukaryota; Metazoa; Arthropoda; Insecta; Coleoptera; Ptilodactylidae
Description: tRNA-Thr
Source: RNAcentral
AGUUUUAAUAAUUUAAAAAAAAUAUAGGUCUUGUAAACCUAAAAUAAGAUAUCCUUUUAAAAC